Molecule: ribosomal RNA, 253 nt
Filed under: uncultured bacterium
Lineage: Bacteria
Description: partial 16S ribosomal RNA
Rfam family: Bacterial small subunit ribosomal RNA
Source: RNAcentral
UACGUAGGAGGCAAGCGUUGUCCGGAGUUACUGGGCGUAAAGGGCCCGCAGGCGGUGGAGUAAGUUUGGAGUGACAGUUCCCAGCUUAACCGGGAAAGGACUUCGAAAACUGCUCGACUUGAGGACUGGAGAGGAAGGCGGAAUUCCGGGUGGAGCGGUGAAAUGCGUAGAGAUCCGGAGGAACACCGACGGCGAAGGCAGCCCCCUGGGUCAAGAUUGACGCUCAUGCACGAAAGCGUGGGGAGCAAACAGG